Molecule: long non-coding RNA, 348 nt
Filed under: Salmo salar (Atlantic salmon)
Lineage: Eukaryota; Metazoa; Chordata; Actinopteri; Salmoniformes; Salmonidae
Description: lncRNA (ENSSSAG00000097861.1)
Source: RNAcentral
GCUCAGAGACCAGCAACACCUCCAUCUUGCUGACAGAACAGGUAGACAGGCUCAGAGACCAGCAAGAAGUACAGCAACACCUCCAUCUUACUGACAGAACAGGUAGACAGGCUCAGAGACCAGCAACACCUCCAUCUUACUGACAGAACAGGUAGACAGGCUCAGAGACCAGCAAGAAGUACAGCAACACCUCCAUCUUACUGACAGAACAGGUAGACAGGCUCAGAGACCAGCAAGAAGUACAGCAACACCUCCAUCUUACUGACAGAACAGGUAGACAGGCUCAGAGACCAGCAAGAAGUACAGCAACACCUCCAUCUUACUGACAGAACAGGUAGACAGGCUCAG